RNAcentral lists this long non-coding RNA (933 nucleotides) under Equus asinus (donkey). Its description in RNAcentral is "lncRNA (ENSEASG00005036872.1)". Lineage: Eukaryota; Metazoa; Chordata; Mammalia; Perissodactyla; Equidae. The record is from RNAcentral.
AGGAUCUUGGAGAUCUGGUGACCGCCCCCUCGCACUGAAGCGGCUAAAGGCAGACCAUGGACUAGACCCGCCGGAGGGGCUGGCACUGCCCCCACCCCCUCUGCCAGCCGACGCCACUUGCUAAAAACAGCCGGGCCCGGGGCCUUUCAGGCCACCCCUCCAGGCCCGGGCAGGUAUUAGAGGCCGAAGCUGGGCCAGGCGAGCUGGACACCAUGCUGUUCACAGAGACCGCCCACUUCGUGGUGAAUUUCCUUCUGUCCCGGUGGAAGCACCAGUGGCAGAAUAUUAACUACCAACUCCUGGGCAAGAGGAAGAGCCAUCUGGUUCCCCUGCGCCCGUGAGAGCGAAUGUGAGGAAACAGGCUCCAGGUUCAUCACAUGGUGGUCCCAAGGCCGACUUGUGCAAGCCAGGAUGACAGGAGGACGGCGUGGGAGCACUGCUCAAUCCCGUAGCCCUUCCCUGUGGCUGAAGAUGAUCCACCUUCGCCCUGUCUCCUGAGGUCUCCGUGUUUCUGCCCUUCACGGCCCAAAUAAAGCAGCUUUUGCCUCUCUCUGGCCCUCUCCACUUUGCAGGGUGAUGAUCUCAGUUCCUUCCAUUCGCAUACACUGUUAGACUGAACCCAAAGGCUGGGAGGGCAUCUGCUGCCACCCCUGACCCUUCCACUGCCCCCAUCUCCCCCGUGAACCCCCCAGUGGGAUAGCCUAGAUGACCCAGACCUGGCUCCUGCUCUCUAGACUCUCGCUGUGCCAUAGAAAGAGAAAGGCAGAGACAUACACUAGCUCAGUAAAGUGCCACAGGAGAGUGAUAUUGUUUGGGGCACAGUGAGUCCUCUGGUGAGUGAGGAAAGCCUUCAGGAAGGGUCUUGAGCUGAAUCUGGACAAGUGGGCAGGCACUGGGUAGGCAUAAGUAGCGCUCCAGGCAGAUUUGGCAGCA